CUAAGGCUGUCAGUUAUUGUCGUUGUCCAGUGGUCAUUUGACCAUCACUAAUGGUGACUCAACCAGAAGUUGUCUGUUUUGUUUUGCAGUAUGAAUGUCAUGUUAUCGCCCAGAAAGUAUUCUAACCCCAAGGGUUUAACUCACUUCUCUCGCAUCUUUAGUUAGAACUUCCAGUUUUCAGGAAAUACAGAGGACAGAGGAUCAAGAAAAGGGCAUCCUAAGGAACUGGCUGGUUUCCCUAGGCUCCAGAGAUCGUCUGACCCCGGCCUCCAGAAUAUGUGGUACUACAAGCUAUGUCACUGUGCCCAGCUUAUAAAGGACAUGAUUGGCUCAGGUGGAGAAAUUUGAGACCUCACUGUUCACUGCCAUCUGGAGUUGAGGAACCCAUGACCUCCAGGUGAUUCUGGUGCACGCAAAGUUUGGAGAGUCCCACACUAGAGCGAUGCUUAAUAAACCUGCGCUGUUUCCAAUGGUAACCAGAUAGAGGAAAAGUGAGAUUGAAAUCCAGGUCCAUUGAUCCCAAAGUCCAUCUUUGGCUACAAAUCAACAAAUCACACCUGGCCUCUCCUGAAGGGAAAACAUAUUGAGGAACAAAUUAAACAACACUGUGGAAGGGGCAACAAGCACACUCCAGACAGGAAAACUGCAGCACAACCAACCUGGUUUAUUCAGCAGAAAAAUGCCAGGAAAACAAAACAAACCAAAAAUAGGGUGGCGAAACAUGUAAAAAAAUACUUGCAGUAUGUAAACAUAAUACAAGCUAUGGCUCUUUAAUUAAAAAAAAAUUAAUUGUAAAAGCAUAAACAAAUUGAUAAAUUGUAAAAAAUUAAUUGUAAAAUUAAUUGUAAAGUUAAAAAAUUACUUGUAAAAUUAAUUGUAAAUUUAAUUUUAAAAAAUUAACUGGAAGUUUGAAAACUG
Molecule: long non-coding RNA, 918 nt
Filed under: Heterocephalus glaber (naked mole-rat)
Lineage: Eukaryota; Metazoa; Chordata; Mammalia; Rodentia; Bathyergidae
Description: lncRNA (ENSHGLG00100042354.1)
Source: RNAcentral